RNAcentral lists this ribosomal RNA (844 nucleotides) under Colletotrichum acutatum. Its description in RNAcentral is "LSU rRNA". It matches the Rfam family "Eukaryotic large subunit ribosomal RNA", at positions 34 to 909 of the family's 3401-position model. Lineage: Eukaryota; Fungi; Ascomycota; Sordariomycetes; Glomerellales; Glomerellaceae. The record is from RNAcentral.
UUAAGCAUAUCAAUAAGCGGAGGAAAAGAAACCAACAGGGAUUGCCCCAGUAACGGCGAGUGAAGCGGCAACAGCUCAAAUUUGAAAUCUGGCCCCAGGCCCGAGUUGUAAUUUGCAGAGGAUGCUUUUGGCGCGGUGCCUUCCGAGUUCCCUGGAACGGGACGCCAUAGAGGGUGAGAGCCCCGUACGGUUGGACACCAAGCCUUUGUAAAGCUCCUUCGACGAGUCGAGUAGUUUGGGAAUGCUGCUCUAAAUGGGAGGUACAUUUCUUCUAAAGCUAAAUAUUGGCCAGAGACCGAUAGCGCACAAGUAGAGUGAUCGAAAGAUGAAAAGCACUUUGAAAAGAGGGUUAAACAGCACGUGAAAUUGUUAAAAGGGAAGCGCUUGUGACCAGACUUGCGUCCGGUGAAUCACCCAGCUCUCGCGGCUGGGGCACUUCGCCGGCACAGGCCAGCAUCAGCUUGCCGUCGGGGACAAAAGCUUCAGGAACGUGGCUCCUCUCGGGGAGUGUUAUAGCCUGUUGCAUAAUACCCUUCGGCGGGCUGAGGUACGCGCUCCGCAAGGAUGCUGGCGUAAUGGUCAUCAGCGACCCGUCUUGAAACACGGACCAAGGAGUCAACCUUAUGUGCGAGUGUUUGGGUGUUAAACCCCUACGCGUAAUGAAAGUGAACGCAGGUGAGAGCUUCGGCGCAUCAUCGACCGAUCCUGAUGUUCUCGGAUGGAUUUGAGUAAGAGCAUAUAGGGUUGGACCCGAAAGAAGGUGAACUAUGCGUGUGUAGGGUGAAGCCAGAGGAAACUCUGGUGGAGGCUCGCAGCGGUUCUGACGUGCAAAUCGAUCUACACA